GAACUGCGGAAGGAUCAUUAACACAAAUCCAAACCUUAAAUUAUCCAUUGUCUGCUUGCAGACAGAAUCAAUACCCCUAAAGCGAGUAACUAAGCUAAUAACCAAGUUAAACUCUCAACGGUGGAUAUCUUGGUUCCCAGAACGAUGAAGAACGCAGCGAAGUGCGAUAAGCAGUGCGAAUUGCAUAAUUCCGUGAAUCAUCAGCUUUUCGAACGCAUCUGGCGUCGGAGGACUUCGGUCCUUUCGGCAUGCUAGUUUCAGUGUCGUUUUGUACUGACCCAAAUCUUAAUGUGGAGGAACCGUCCUCUACGAAAUUGGGAAGUGAAACAACGUAGCAGACACUUCGGUGUACUCGUUGGCGUGAACUUCUGGUACAACUAUUCUAUUCAUACCUGAUUCUAGUAAGAGGACCCGCUGAACUUAACC
Molecule: ribosomal RNA, 426 nt
Filed under: Caryotricha minuta
Lineage: Eukaryota; Ciliophora; Spirotrichea; Kiitrichida; Kiitrichidae
Description: eukaryotic LSU rRNA
Rfam family: 5.8S ribosomal RNA (bases 110-266)
Source: RNAcentral